UUCUCUGUCUCUAACGUUUGCUCUCCCUUCUCUCUAGAACCUUCUGGUUCUCUCUUUAUUCUCCGAUGGGAUUCAUCGCCUCUCCGACAACUCCAUCCUCGCUCCUCUCGACCUUUAGUCGCCAUGAGACCUUAUCUCGUUGUUUCUCUCCAAGGUUUGAAACCCCAGAAGCUUCCAUCAUGAAAGGAGGUCCCUGGAAACCUCGUUUGGCUAUCUCCGGCCUUUCUUUAGUGCGUUUUGGUCCAAUGAUGCUUUAAAUGUCGUUAUUAGCAAGUUUCACUGCCAGGUUUCUC
RNAcentral lists this long non-coding RNA (293 nucleotides) under Nicotiana benthamiana. RNAcentral describes it as "long non-coding RNA (NBEN_LNC011664)". The record is from RNAcentral. Lineage: Eukaryota; Viridiplantae; Streptophyta; Magnoliopsida; Solanales; Solanaceae.